Molecule: long non-coding RNA, 1848 nt
Organism: Acanthochromis polyacanthus (spiny chromis)
Lineage: Eukaryota; Metazoa; Chordata; Actinopteri; Pomacentridae
Exons: 2
Source: RefSeq, a predicted model, not a curated record
GGAGGAGCUAAAGAGGACACAGGUGAGGCAGUGAGGCUUCAGGUAACAACAUUGACAGUUUUCAGGCACUAGAAGGCAGAAAUCUGAAGCUGUUCAACAGAUCCAACAAUUUCUAUUUCAGUUAACUAUUUUACAAAUCAAGUGAUUCAUUUAAAUGUUUAAUUUUCCUCUGUAGUAUCUGAUCUGAGCCAUGUAUUCCUUAAUAAGUUAGUAGAAUGGAAUCUGUUUGUUUGUUUGUUCUAGUAUCUGAUAUGAGUUACUUGUUAUAUUUAGUGUCUGCUCUGGUGUGGCUCUUUGUCUCUGACCACAGAUGGAACCUGCUUUACAUGCGUGACUAAAUCUACCCUUGCCAUUGGAAUGUGUUUUUCAGUUUUAGGAACAGAUCACUUGUUUUUUUGAGGCACCCAUGUCUAGCUAGAAGAUGGAUGUGUUCCUUUGGGAUUUCAGAGACGAGGGGUUCUAUUCAAGAGUGGUCUUGUUUUUGAGUAAGGGGUCUUCUAACAUGAACCAGAUGUUGUAAUUCUAUCCUUCACCAGAAGGUAUUAAAGCGACCUGACUUCUUUGUUCGGGGAGAGAUUCUUUUUGGUUUUGAAAUCCUCCACAGGAAAAUCUUGGGGCCUGUUCAGAUCCUGUCUUUAUCAUUCUGUGAGAUUCUUAUUGCAGGAUCCUCCACAGGGAAACCAUGUUGCCUGUUCAGAUGCUGUCUUUUUAUAAUAAAAUUAUAUUAAAAGCAACAGUGUCACCGGAUGUGUUGUUCAACCUCAGCACAUCUAAGAGAAACCACGACACCUCUAAAACAAGCAAAAGCAAUUUUCAAUUUAUUGUGACAAACUGUACACUAAAAAUGAUGUGAAAAAACUUUAAAAUUCCAACAGCUGAGACCAAACAAACCUUUCUGUAAGCUAGAAGAAAAAUAAUAUCUUAUAAAAACACAAUAAUCUUCCAUAAUUACAGCCUUACUUGUAAUUAUUGUGUAUUUUCUGUCUUGUCAUACCUGCAUCAUAUUCAACAAUAAACACUUAUUACAUUCAUUCAUAUUAAACUGAGCCAAUCAGUGUAAAGCCAAAAACAUAAAAAUGAAAAAUAAUUGAAGGAACUUACUUAAAAGCAUUUUCACAAUAUUAAAUGAUUUCUUACUUAAUUAACCAAUUCUGUUGUGUUAAUUCAACUUAUUCCCAAUGGUCUGUUCCAACUUUAUUUACUCAAGGACAGAAGAGAGAGGAGAGAAGACAUCUUCCUCUUCCUCUUCUGGAAGAACAUUCAAAGCAUGUUUAUUUUAAUAGAAUUUAAGUAAGUUAACCCUCAGUACCAAAUAAUGCAACCAGCUUGGUGUCAAGGGUUUAAGAAACACCAUUUAAUAGGAAUGAGUUGACAAUAAUGUCUAUUUUUCAAAACACAGUACAGUGCAACGCUGGAAGCUGUUUGUUCCAAAAUGUUUUAAUUAGAGGUGGGUUGUUUCUUUUCUUUCAAGGGUAAAUCUUCAGCGCUGCAGACUCACCUUCAGCCUUUUGUCAUGGUCAUUUAAAUCUCUAAACACAAAAUAGAUUGUAAAUAACCAAGCACAUCUCUUUAUUUGCCAAAGAUAACUGCUGUAUUUUAUUUUGGAGUUUUACGUGUAUUUAUAAUGUGUUAAUGUAUUUUACGGUUGAUGCUUUUAUUUUGAAAAGAGUAAUUCCUGUCGCAACUGAGCGCGAAUUAGCUUCUCGGCAACAAAAGACGGAAAAGGAUAAGGACACAGCGAGAAAUCAGCGCAUAAACAUGUAUUUUGCACUUAGUAGCCUCUUUGAAAGAGGCACAAGCUCUUACGGUGAAAUUUGAGGGUUUAAUGCCAAUAAACUUGAAAAUCCA